This 67-nucleotide transfer RNA is filed under the name Cavia porcellus (domestic guinea pig). It matches the Rfam family "tRNA". From Rfam's summary of the family: Transfer RNA (tRNA) molecules are approximately 80 nucleotides in length. The record is from Rfam by way of RNAcentral. Lineage: Eukaryota; Metazoa; Chordata; Mammalia; Rodentia; Caviidae.
GGUUGUAGCUUUGUGUCACAGCACCUGCCUGGCAAGCACAAGGUCCUGAGUUCAAUUCCCAGCAACC